GAUGAACGCUAGCGGCAGGCCUAAUACAUGCAAGUCGAACGGGAUCUAUUGUGUAGCUUGCUACACUUUAGUGAGAGUGGCGCACGGGUGCGUAACGCGUGAGCAACCUACCCAUAACUGGGGGAUAGCCCGGCGAAAGUCGGAUUAACACCGCAUAACACAGCAAUUCCGCAUGGGAUCACUGUUAAAUAUUUAUAGGAUAUGGAUGGGCUCGCGUGACAUUAGCUAGUUGGUAAGGUAACGGCUUACCAAGGCUAUGAUGUCUAGGGGCUCUGUGAGGAGAAUCCCCCACACUGGUACUGAGACACGGACCAGACUCCUACGGGAGGCAGCAGUAAGGAAUAUUGGUCAAUGGACGGAAGUCUGAACCAGCCAUGCCGCGUGCAGGAUGACUGCCCUAUGGGUUGUAAACUGCUUUUAUACGGGAACAAACCCCUAUACGUGUAUAGG
Molecule: ribosomal RNA, 450 nt
Filed under: uncultured bacterium
Lineage: Bacteria
Description: bacterial SSU rRNA
Rfam family: Bacterial small subunit ribosomal RNA
Source: RNAcentral